RNAcentral lists this long non-coding RNA (496 nucleotides) under Hordeum vulgare. RNAcentral's name for it is "long non-coding RNA (HVUL_LNC011799)". Lineage: Eukaryota; Viridiplantae; Streptophyta; Magnoliopsida; Poales; Poaceae. The record is from RNAcentral.
UCCACCUCUCCAAACUAAGCCUUUUUUGAAAAGUUCAAGGCAAUGUUGAACUACUUGCCAAGUAGGUGAGGAAGCAUCAGAAAACAAUAGUGUCUUCCAUGUUAUCGUUGAGGAAGUAUAGCACCUUCAACAGCCAUUAGCAUAAGGUAUCAGGGAAGGAGAGCAGUCUCCAACCUGUCACCCGAGCAACACCUGGUUACAAAGGCGGAAAUCCAUGAAUCCAAGGCCUCAGUGUGACUUUGGUUGCAUCAGAACCUCUCAUGUGUGCCAGUGCAUCUUCAUUCUCUCCUUCUCGUCUCCCAAAUAUUAAUUUUGAGCCAUGCAUGUGAGAUCAUCAUAUGUGAUUGCAUGUAACGAGAAGACACUCAUCGAGUAAUUCAUGAGUGCUUGGGAUAUGGCCUUGAUUAACACUACCUUUCCACUUUGAGCCAUUUGAGAAUCACACCAAAGGAUAAUCUACUUUGUAUAUCUCUCUUCUAUAUUCUUAAAUCACCCU